GAUGAACGCUGGCGGCGUGCCUAAUACAUGCAAGUCGAGCGAACAGACGAGGAGCUUGCUCCUCUGACGUUAGCGGCGGACGGGUGAGUAACACGUGGAUAACCUACCUAUAAGACUGGGAUAACUUCGGGAAACCGGAGCUAAUACCGGAUAAUAUAUUGAACCGCAUGGUUCAAUAGUGAAAGACGGUUUUGCUGUCACUUAUAGAUGGAUCCGCGCCGCAUUAGCUAGUUGGUAAGGUAACGGCUUACCAAGGCUACGAUGCGUAGCCGACCUGAGAGGGUGAUCGGCCACACUGGAACUGGGACACGGUCCAGACUCCUACGGGAGGCAGCAGUAGGGAAUCUUCCGCAAUGGGCGAAAGCCUGACGGAGCAACGCCGCGUGAGUGAUGAAGGUCUUCGGAUCGUAAAACUCUGUUAUUAGGGAAGAACAAAUGUGUAAGUAACUAUGCACGUCUUGACGGUACCUAAUCAGAAAGCCACGGCUAACUACGUG
RNAcentral lists this ribosomal RNA (497 nucleotides) under uncultured bacterium. RNAcentral's name for it is "partial 16S ribosomal RNA". It matches the Rfam family "Bacterial small subunit ribosomal RNA", at positions 28 to 507 of the family's 1533-position model. The record is from RNAcentral.